UCAAUACAGAGAGGGAGCUGGCAUCAGAAAACAACACUGGGAGCUGGGGACUGACAGUACAGGAGACCAGAGGGGAGCCAGAGGCAAGGUCUUGCUAUGUUGCUCAGACUGAUCUUGAACUCCUGACCCUAAAGUGAUCCUCCUGCCUCAGCCUCCCAAAGUGCUGGGAUUGCAGACAUGCUUGCUUCCUCAUCACCUUCUGCCAUGAUUGUGUUUCCUGAGGUCUCCCAGCCGUGCUUCCUGUACAGCUUGUGGAACUCUUGCCCAGAGACAUCUGAGUCUUCACACGGCGCACGGCACACUCCUUGUCAGAGAGCCCAUCCGAGUGUGAGGAUAUGUCAAUGGGAAUCUCUGGCGUCUGGGACAGCAGGUCGUCUAGCUUCUCUGAGAAGCAGUCUUCAAGUUUAUCAGCUAACUCAUCGGGACUGUUUGAGUGGUCACUGGUAUUUCCCUCUUCUCCAUCGGACACAGAGAAAUUCUCAGAGCUAAAGGUUGAAUAUGACUGGCAGCUGCUGAUACAGCGAUGGGGCCUAGAACCAAGAAGAACCAGGAGAACUUAGUCAGAGGAACUGCUUUUCUUUCCUUAUCUGUCACUCAUAGUAGUGGUAGAGAUAAUCUAGUUUUUUCCCUGCCAUCAAGGAGGCCUAAGAAAUCAAGAUAGGUAGAAACUAUUUAACUUUUAACAUUAAGGCAAUAGACUGAAUUUUAUCCCCCAUGAAAUUCCAUGUUGAGGCCCUAAUACCAGUGCGACUGUAUUUGGAGAUAGGGCUUUUAGGAGGUAAAUAAAGUUAAAUGGAUCAUAAGGGUGGGGUCCUAAUCAAAUAGGAUUGGCGGCCUUAUAAAAAGAGGAAGAGAUUCUCUCCAUUCCUCCCUCCCACCUUUUUUCAACAUUCAUGUGCAGGGCAAAGACCAUGUGAGGAAACAGAGAAGGUGGCUGUCUGCAAGGCAGGAAGAGAACCCUCACCAGAAACUGAAUCUGCUGACACCUUGAUCUUGGACUUCCCCAGCUCCAGAACUUGAGAAAUAAGUUCCUGUUGUUUAAGCCAUCCAAUCUGUAGUAUUUUGUUAUGGCAGCCCAAGGUGACUAACACAAGAAGGAAAUUUUAAUUUCCCCUUUCAUUUGGUUUAUAUAUUUAUGUGACUAAACACUACACUCCAAGCUGAUGGCUAUGACUGGCCUUUGAAAAAAAUCAGCUUGUCUAAUCACGUUAUGUACAUGUAUGCAUAGUAUGGAAUGUCCAAAUUGAAAUUAUGCCUCUUAUUUAGAGAGUCAUAGAUUCUCACAGGUGAAAGAGACUUUGGAGAAUUUCUGGACUAACUCAUUUCCCAGAUGAGAAAACUGGAGCCAGAGAAGGGAAGUGACUUGUUUAAGGCCACACCAUGAGAAAAGGCAGAGCUGAGGCUUGGGCUGGGUCUACACACACUUUGAUCAGUGUCCUUCUCUAACCUCCAUCCCUCACCUCCCUGUCAAUCCACCCCAGCUUCAUUUCCCAGAGCCCAGUGUCCACUGGGCAUGGUGGCCCUGGAGGCCCAAGUGCUUUCACUACCUCUGUUGACCAACCUUCAACAGAAAUGAGCUUGGAAGGAACAUUCACUCUGCAGCUGUGGGUACUGCCCAGCUAGUUAGUAGCUCAUUCCAGUUAACAUCUGAGUUUGGCUCUGAUGAGCCAAUGCUUCUGGGGAGAUAACUUGCAAAAGUUCCUCAGUUCCUUCCCGUUGUUUAUAAGCAGCUUAGUAAAUAAGGAUGUUACUAGCUUACACUGGCUUAAAAAAACAUAAGAAAACAAAUAAUAAAGACUUCCUUUUUCUUUUGC
This is a long non-coding RNA of Pan troglodytes (chimpanzee), 1814 nucleotides long. RefSeq lists it as uncharacterized. The record is from RefSeq and is a predicted model, not a curated record. The transcript has 4 exons. Lineage: Eukaryota; Metazoa; Chordata; Mammalia; Primates; Hominidae.